This is a small nuclear RNA of Grammomys surdaster, 107 nucleotides long. The record is from RefSeq and is a predicted model, not a curated record. Lineage: Eukaryota; Metazoa; Chordata; Mammalia; Rodentia; Muridae.
GUGCUCGUUUCGGCAGUACACAUACCAAAAUUGGGACGAUACACAAAAGAUUAGCAUGGACCCUGUGCAAGGAUGAUAUGCAAAUCAGUGAAGCAAUCCAUAUUUUA